RNAcentral lists this non-coding RNA (28 nucleotides) under Mus musculus (house mouse). The record is from RNAcentral. Lineage: Eukaryota; Metazoa; Chordata; Mammalia; Rodentia; Muridae.
UUGGGAGCUUUGCCCUCUGGUUGCUUUG